This is a long non-coding RNA of Nasonia vitripennis (jewel wasp), 948 nucleotides long. RefSeq lists it as uncharacterized. The transcript is spliced from 2 exons. NCBI's taxonomy places the organism in Eukaryota, Metazoa, Arthropoda, Insecta, Hymenoptera, Pteromalidae. The record is from RefSeq and is a predicted model, not a curated record.
AAGUGUACGUAUUGCAGAGCGUACGUAGAUUCGCAGGUAAGUAAUUAAAUAAAUUGAAUAUGGAUUUGUUCAGAUUUAUUAAUCCGUCUUUACAGCUUGGAAACCCGACAGAGACUGACUCGUUACCAGUGCAAGAGCCUUUUUAAAAGGUCUCGAGAAGCCAAAGCGAUCGAUACGGCAUGCAGAAGGCGAUCGAUAACAAGCGAUGAAUAAGCGACGACUAAUACGGCUCAUAUAACUCCUCCAUGCCCAAGUUGAAUGACGUCCUCGUUAUUUGUUAUCUCGGUAUGUUGUGGGCUCCUGUUUGGACUCCUGCUUUUACAUGAACCCCUGUUUUUACAUUUAUAUUUAUAGAUAAUGAAAAUUAUUCCAAUUAUUAGAAUCAGCAUGACAAUUAUAAAUGACGCUAUUGAUGUAUGGAAUUCGAUUCCGAAUUUUGUGAAUUUUGGUGUCUCCAUCGUAGGUACUGCUUGCGUUUUUAGCGGUUCGAAUCUCCGUUGAUGAUCCUCGAUGAUCAAUGGUUGAACUUCCGACACCUUAAGUUCUCCGAGAUUGUCGUCCACCCUAUGUCCCUGUAUCAACAGAUUGUUUCCUCCAAAGAUCUUCGUUCCAAAAAAUGUUUCCUUGUUCUUGUUAUUUUCGAUUUCUGUUUUAUAAUUACUGGAUAUCAGCAUCAAGUUGUUUAGGAGUGGAUACGCCAAUGCUAGAGGCGCAUUUAUUGAAAUUGUUAUUGUUUUUGCGUCUUCUGCGAGGAUUUGAUAGCAUACAUAGUCGCUCUGAUAGAUCAAUUGACAUCUUCUUGAAAAUAAUUUUAUUAUCGAGCCAUCCAGCUUCCACGGUAUCGUUACGAUCUCCGUCUGGUUAUUUCGGUUAAUUAUAGCAAGUCUUUGAAAAAGGGAGAAUUCAAUGGAAUUUAGGAUAGGAAUUUUUAUGGUAUAAAUUAUGGAA